UACGGAGGGGGGCUAGCGUUGUUCGGAAUUACUGGGCGUAAAGCGCACGUAGGCGGCUUUGUAAGUUAGAGGUGAAAGCCCGGGGCUCAACUCCGGAAUUGCCUUUAAGACUGCAUCGCUAGAAUUGUGGAGAGGUAAGUGGAAUUCCGAGUGUAGAGAUGAAAUUCGUAGAUAUUCGGAAGAACACCAGUGGCGAAGGCGACUUACUGGACACAUAUUGACGCUGAGGUGCGAAAGCGUGGGGAGCAAACAGGG
RNAcentral lists this ribosomal RNA (255 nucleotides) under uncultured bacterium. RNAcentral's name for it is "partial 16S ribosomal RNA". It matches the Rfam family "Bacterial small subunit ribosomal RNA", at positions 524 to 777 of the family's 1533-position model. The record is from RNAcentral.